RNAcentral lists this ribosomal RNA (446 nucleotides) under uncultured bacterium. Its description in RNAcentral is "partial 16S ribosomal RNA". It matches the Rfam family "Bacterial small subunit ribosomal RNA", at positions 338 to 795 of the family's 1533-position model. The record is from RNAcentral.
CCUACGGGAGGCUGCAGUCGAGAAUCAUUCACAAUGGGGGAAACCCUGAUGGUGCGACGCCGCGUGGGGGAAUGAAGGUCUUCGGAUUGUAAACCCCUGUCAUGUGGGAGCAAAUUAAAAAGAUAGUACCACAAGAGGAAGAGACGGCUAACUCUGUGCAAGCAGCCGCGGUAAUACAGAGGUCUCAAGCGUUGUUCGGAAUCACUGGGCGGAAAGCGUGCGUAGGCUGUUUCGUAAGUCGUGUGUGAAAGGCGCGGGCUCAACCCGCGGACGGCACAUGAUACUGCGAGACUAGAGUAAUGGAGGGGGAACCGGAAUUCUCGGUGUAGCAGUGAAAUGCGUAGAUAUCGAGAGGAACACUCGUGGCGAAGGCGGGUUCCUGGACAUUAACUGACGCUGAGGCACGAAGGCCAGGGGAGCGAAAGGGAUUAGAUACCCGAGUAGUC